AGCCCCAGCCGCUCUCUUCCCUCCCUCCCCUCAUCAGUCAUCAGUUCGUUGGUCAUUGAGAGAGAGAGAGGGCGCGUUUCUUGGCCAUGGCGUUGCCGCCGUGCGGGUGGCCAUGUAGUUCGCUUCGAAUAAGACUUUCUGUUUCAGCAACUCCAUUUCACCAAGUGAACCAGGUAUAUAAAAGCUUUCUCUCCCUCACUCGUGGACGCGGUUCUGUAUUUGGUCUGUUUUAGUCGAGGAUGGGUCACGAAAUUUGAAUGACGAAAUCGCGAGGAAGCUUGAAUGAAAUAGCACAUUGCUGAAUGAGUGGUCUGAUCAUAAAGCAUAUACAUCUGUUUUAGAUUGAAAAUCAUGCCAAAGUUGAAUCAAAAGCUUGUUCUUGGUGCUGAACAUCACCCGUUCGCUAAAAUGCCUACAAGAAGAUCGAAUUUUUUUUAUUUAUUUAUGUUGGAGCUCGAGAUUGAUUCAUAUUUGCGUUCAUAUUCGUCGAAUCAUAUUUGCUUAUUCGUGUUUUCCUUGUUUUUUUUAUGUGAUUUGGUGGAAAAAUCUUGCUUGAGUCAGUCGUGUAUGAAUUUCUUGUGUCAGAAUACUUCGUCGGACCUACCUAUAGAAACUGAGAACCUAGUUGUAUAGGCGACCUAUUCAAUGAAGGUUAAGAUUUUACCUCUCAAAAGUACUCAAUCUUUUUCAUACAAAUUCUUCUAACGGGUUGAUUGGAAAAUAUUCCUUUGAAUACUAUCCAACGGUUAGUUUGAAAGUAAAGAAAUAUAAAAAAAGACCAAAGUGCUAAAGAAAAUAGAAGUCUAGAGUAAAAAAUUCCAAUGUCUAUGUGAACUUCGAUCUUGCGUAUUUGUCUUUCUUGAGCUAUAAAUUGUAAUCUUAGAGAAACACUAAAAGUGUGAUUGAGUGAGAUAAUGAGACCUGUCAUAUACUUGAGUUAAUUCAUUUACAGUUGAAACCUCUAAUUGAUUAUCAAAUGGAAUCUAGCCAGUAGGCUAUCAAGGUGGAAGAGUAGACAUAGGCUUCACUUAAGCCGGACCAAAAUAAAAUUUGCGUGCAAUUUUAUCUAUUUCUUUACUCUUGUUUAUUGUUUAUGGUAGACAUUUGCACACCGGUUGCCAUUAUCACGAUCAAAGUUCAAAUUAUGAUUUCACUUGAUUAUGAAGUUACUCAUGAAGUUACUCAUGAAGUUACAAAUUUGUUAAGAGUUUUUAAAUUCGCCUUUUCACUCACCUCUAGGUAACAUUGCCAACCUCGAACAAUGUACACUAUGACAACCAAUGUGCGAUAUAUCUAGCAUAUAAUUUGAUUUAUCAUGAGCGAAUGAAACAUAUCAAUAUCAAGUACCAUUUUAUCCAAGAUAUCUUAGCGAAUGGUAACGUUGUUCACAACGGAGAACCUAGCAAACAUAAUGACCAAACAUGAUGACCAAAUCUGUUCAUAGAGAGUGAGAGCCUAUCGGGACGUUGGGAGAGUAGUAUGAAUGAUGAUCAUUAUAACUUGAUUUGAAAUAUUGAGUCAAGGUGUAUAAUUAUUAAAUUAUGUCUCAAAUUUGAACUCGUGUGCACUUUCCCAUUUAGAAGAAGAAGAAAUCCUCUGCCACUACAAGACCAAAAAACAAGGGCUCACAUAUUCUAUUAUAUAUAUUUACUUAUUUUUUGGUGGUGAAGUUCUCCGCAAUCAUCACCAAAGAAGGACUCUUGCUUCCAUAUUACCGCACGAUAUGAGGAGGACUUUCUUGUCCUUUUGUGCUGAUGAAAAGGGUUUACUACGGGGACGAAUAAAAAGACAUGGAGUUUCUUCUUGACAGUAGCCGCACUGUAGAAGUCAUAGAAGGACGAACGAGAAGGACGGACACGAUGACAUUGUGACACUCACUCUUGAGUUCUGUACACAAUGAUUUUGUGCUUUGGAUUUACAUCAAUUGAGUUGUUUAUUUGCAAAUACUUUGAGUUUAGGCUCAAAUCUAGGUGUGAAAAACAUUCGAGCAUAUCAAAGAUUGUAAACUCUAAUUCUUGAAUUAUAAUAGAUUAUUUGUGGGUGACUUUCUCGG
Molecule: long non-coding RNA, 2053 nt
Filed under: Eucalyptus grandis
Lineage: Eukaryota; Viridiplantae; Streptophyta; Magnoliopsida; Myrtales; Myrtaceae
Description: long non-coding RNA (EGRA_LNC002188)
Source: RNAcentral